GUAGGAUAAGCUAAAAAAGCUAGUGGGUUCAUACCCCAAAAAUGAGAUAAUAACUCUCCUACUA
RNAcentral lists this transfer RNA (64 nucleotides) under Orobdella koikei. Its description in RNAcentral is "tRNA-Met". Lineage: Eukaryota; Metazoa; Annelida; Clitellata; Hirudinida; Orobdellidae. The record is from RNAcentral.